Molecule: ribosomal RNA, 945 nt
Filed under: Acinetobacter sp. OVC2
Lineage: Bacteria; Pseudomonadati; Pseudomonadota; Gammaproteobacteria; Moraxellales; Moraxellaceae
Description: bacterial SSU rRNA
Rfam family: Bacterial small subunit ribosomal RNA
Source: RNAcentral
AUGCAGUCGAGCGGAGAGAGGUAGCUUGCUACUGAUCUUAGCGGCGGACGGGUGAGUAAUGCUUAGGAAUCUGCCUAUUAGUGGGGGACAACAUUUCGAAAGGAAUGCUAAUACCGCAUACGUCCUACGGGAGAAAGCAGGGGAUCUUCGGACCUUGCGCUAAUAGAUGAGCCUAAGUCGGAUUAGCUAGUUGGUGGGGUAAAGGCCUACCAAGGCGACGAUCUGUAGCGGGUCUGAGAGGAUGAUCCGCCACACUGGGACUGAGACACGGCCCAGACUCCUACGGGAGGCAGCAGUGGGGAAUAUUGGACAAUGGGCGCAAGCCUGAUCCAGCCAUGCCGCGUGUGUGAAGAAGGCCUUAUGGUUGUAAAGCACUUUAAGCGAGGAGGAGGCUACUUUAGUUAAUACCUAGAGAUAGUGGACGUUACUCGCAGAAUAAGCACCGGCUAACUCUGUGCCAGCAGCCGCGGUAAUACAGAGGGUGCAAGCGUUAAUCGGAUUUACUGGGCGUAAAGCGCGCGUAGGCGGCUAAUUAAGUCAAAUGUGAAAUCCCCGAGCUUAACUUGGGAAUUGCAUUCGAUACUGGUUAGCUAGAGUGUGGGAGAGGAUGGUAGAAUUCCAGGUGUAGCGGUGAAAUGCGUAGAGAUCUGGAGGAAUACCGAUGGCGAAGGCAGCCAUCUGGGCCUAACACUGACGCUGAGGUGCGAAAGCAUGGGGAGCAAACAGGAUUAGAUACCCUGGUAGUCCAUGCCGUAAACGAUGUCUACUAGCCGUUGGGGCCUUUGAGGCUUUAGUGGCGGCAGCUAACGCGAUAAGUAGACCGCCUGGGGGAGUACGGUCGCAAGACUAAAACUCAAAUGAAUUGACGGGGGCCCGCACAAGCGGUGGGAGCAUGUGGUUUAAUUCGAUGCAACGAGAAGAACCUUACCUGGCCUUGACAUAGUA